UGCCAUUUUGGGUAAAUCAGUAUUACACAAGCCUAUUAAUAUCAAACCUCCCCUUCCAUAGACUUGGAUGGGGAGGAGAUCUGUUCUGUGCACCGCAGGUCAGCCUGGGUGUUCGUUAACAGACAUUACUGGUUAUUCUCAUGUUUAUGCUUGUCUCCCUAGUCAUUUGCUCUGUUUUCUCCAGGGGUUUAAAUGCUGCUAUGCAGCCACUCACUCGACAAAUGAUUGAAAUAUAUAUAACUACAAAGAAAACCAUCACAAGACGCUUUGAUGGCAGUCAUCAACAGCCAGGCUGAGGCUGUUCUUGGAGUGGUGUAGAUCAGGAGUUCUGAAAACAACAACAACAACAACAACAACAAUAACAACAACAACAACAACGUAUGGUCAACUGAUGAGACUCAGAAUCUCUGUGGGCCAAGAAGUGAGACUUGUUUUGUAGCUCACCGUGAGAAGAUUUGAAAUGAAGAGUUCAAAGAACUGGUCUCUGAUGAAUGGCAUUGGGAUGGUGAGGUCUGGAAAAAGAUGGGAAAAAGGACUUCAGCUUUCAUCAAGAGCCCUUCUCUAACAAACACUAGAUGUAUUAUUUCGUGUAUUCAUUAUUCUGAUAAAACGUGAAAAAUCAUAUGAAAAUAGAGUAUAAAUAAUUCUAUUAAUCUGAAACAAUUUAGUUCUUUAGAAUGUGUCUUAAUAUAUUAUUCUUCAGUAUAGUAUUGUUUUACAUAUACAAAAACUACUGAAUUAUCAUAGUAAAACAUACAAACAAUUUUGAUACAGUAAAUGUUUCUCUUAACUUUGAUCAAACUUUAUUUGCCACUCUGGUAAUAUUCUCUAGUUGGUCCUAUGAGACCAUUAUCUAUACUCUUAAAUUAUACAUAUAGGUACCUAGAGCAGCUUGUUUGAUUUUAUUUGUGUAUAUAACUUUAACAUAAAUAGACCCCUCUAAAUAUCAAUAUGGAAUUCUUUUUUAACUUGUUGAUAUAUUUCAGUGAGAGUUUAAUUUCAGUAUGCAUAGAUUUGCCUUAUGGUACAUUUCUUUUUGUGCUCUUUAUUUUUUUCAUAUUUAGGAGAAGAAUUUCUAGACAAUAGGAUAUAGGCACUUUGAACUUUAUACUCUUUCACAGACUAUAUGAAAAUGCAUGUUUUCCCAAAUCUUCACCUAUAAAGGGUGAAAUACAAUGUAUCACAAUACUAUGUCAAUAUAUUAUUGCUCUAUUGUGGUUUGAUUUUAAAUUCCUUGAUUCAUAUUCUGUUACAUUAUUUGAUUUACUUUUCAUUUUGCUGGAGUACUUAAGUUACUUUUAAGCAAAUGCAUGGUGAUGGAAUAAAUGUUUUGACUACUUAAAUGUCUGAAGUCUAUGAUAACAAAUUUUUAAUUUUAGAUGAAAUGAAGAAAUUUCAAGAAAACUGCAACUUACUAAAACUGACACAAGAAGAAAGUCUAAAAUUUUUCAUAUUUAUGUAAUUGAAUCUGUUACAAAUGAAAGGAAGGAUUUCUUUAUAUAUUCUGGAUAGUAAUCACUUUUUAUAAUACAUGUUUGAAAUACCUUUCACCCACUUGUCACUUGACUUUUAAUACCCUCUAUGGUGCUCUCUGACACAUAGAAGUUUUAAAAAUGUAAGUAGAAUGUCCAAGAUAUUACUAGUGUUUCCUGAUGUGCCUUGUUCAUCUUACCUUUUGGGAAAACAGAAGGUUGCUUGGUCUGUUUCCUGUUAAUUUAGGCAUGGCCAUGUGACUGUCUUUGCCCAGUGACAUGUCACUUCCAGGGGAAAUCAUUUGAGUCAGUUUACAAUUCUCCAUGUCGUUCUUUCCCUAGAGCAUUGACCAAGGUGGUGUAUAUUCUAAAUGGUACAGCUAUUCAAUAGCGGAGGAAUAGAAAAAAAUAGCAAACAAAUGAUAAGAAUGUAGAUUUAAACCCUGUUAUUGAUGAAAUACUUAAACACAUUAAAAAACAGUGCCACUGGAUAAAAAAGAAAGUCUUACUAUUAUAAUAUAUGCUGCUUCCUAGAGAUAUGUCUUAAAUAUAAGAAACCAGAAGGUUAAAAAUAAAAGUAUGGAAAAGCAUGUUCAGAAAAACCUAAUAAAACAAAUCUACCUUGAAUAUGCCAAUAUUAGAUUAAGUCUAUUUUAAGGAAAGAAGCAUUACUAGAGAUAAAAAAUUCAUCAUAAUUAAAGGGUCAAACAACUAGGGAGACUUAACAAUUCUUAAUUAAAAUGAAAACCUAAUUGCAUAGCUCAAAUAAUAUACAUAUAUAAAGAAAAGCACAUAAAGCCAAAAUUGAUACAAAUAAAAAUAUACAGAUCUACACUUGUCUCAGAAAGUGAUACAACAAACAGAUGCAAUAUUGGUAAGGACAUAGAAGAGCUCAACGCUUUGUUCCACAGCAUGAUUGAUAUGUAUAAAAUACUGCACCCAUCAAUUCAGUGAUGUACUCCUUUUAAGUACUCACAGAUUAUUUAACUAAAUUGCUCAUGUUUAGGGCUACAAAGCAAGUCAACAGAUUGCAAGCAAUUAAAAGCUUGCAGAGUAUGUCUAUUGACCAUAGCUCAAAUAAACUAGACAUAAAAACAAAAUGCUAGAUAGACAGUACCCAAAUGUUUUAAAAUUAAACAACUUACCCUUAAAUAACCCAAGAAAUGGAAUCUGUUAUAAAUGAAAAGAGAAGGAGUGUCUAGAAGUCAGUAGAUUUUAAUAGUUAAGGAAGCUUGAGACCUAAAAGAACAAGUGUUUCUUUCACAAAUGGAUGUGAAUUGCACUACGGAGUAGGAGAGACUCCAGUACCACCUCUGGAACUUGAGGGCUCCGAGGUGUAAAAAUGAAUAUUCUUUACUACAGAGAGCAGCAGAGAACCUGUACUAUCAGAGGAGAGUUCUAUUUCAAUUGGGAGAGAAAAUUAGAGGCACAUAUUGGUGAAGAAGCUUAGGAUUUUUUGAAAUACCUGAAAUUCAGAAACAUAAUUAUGAAUACACAUAUUACUAGAAAAUUUCAAUGCAGGUUAAAGGUAGUGACAGGCAAAUGCUGUGUUUAAAUAAAAAAUUGAUCUUACUCUUUUGGUAUUUAUUUUGAUGACUUUAAAAUUGCCAGAGGGUUCAACAGACAUCCCUAAUCAUUUCCAUCCAACUUCUAGCUAUUCCCAAAGCCUUAUCCACCCAGAAAUACAAUCAUUAAGGUUUACUGGGCUGAAGUGUGGGAGGGAAUGUAAGUGUCUGCUGUAUACAUUUAUGAGGUAAUGAAUUUUUUUAAAAGAUUAAAAGUUUAAGGUUUUUUUGUUUAGAUUGUUUGAAAACAUCCACUCUCCUAAUGUAAGUACCUCUGUGGAUAUAGCCAUAUCAAAAUAGUUAUGACAAAAUUUCAGGUAUUUCUAUUGGAAUAUAGGACAGUGGACAGGGAAGAGUUAAAUCAGCUGGCCUACUCUAUUUAUUCACACUAUUCAUGUCCUAUCGUGGGGAUGGUGUUGGGGUAUAGACCUGGGGGAACUAAAAGCAGACAGGCAACCCGGGUAACUUUGUCAGUAUGCUAACCAGACUUUCUAGUAAAUAGAUUAAUAAUAUUUGCUAGAACAUCCUUAUCUAUGGGAUCUUCUUAACAAGAUAUCUCUGUUUAAGGAUUGCCAGUAUGUCACAUAAACUGGGAUAUAAAAUGGACGUGUUUCAUAAAUGGAACAUCCUCACCGUGAGGAAUAAUCUUUAAAUAACUUUAUUACUGUGGGCCGCAGAGCACUUGUCUGAUGUCAAAAAGGAAGAUGUGGGAACCAUUCUCAAAACUCCAGGCCUCUAUUUAUUUCCAUUUGAGCCUCUUGAUUGCCUAUAUCUUUAACUUGAUUAGUAAAAUCUGUUAAUGGGCAAGAUCCUUGAUUCAUUUGAGUUUGAAAUGAUAAUGUGUUCCUUUAUGUUUUCUCAGGCAUCUCUGUGAGUCUGUGGUUUCAGAAAAGACUUUUUGUAAGAGCUAAGUCUGAAAGCCUUAGCUCAGUUUGCUUAGUCAAGAAGGGUGCAGCUGGAUAAAAAGAACAUGAACAAAAUUUUUAAAAAAGCCCAAAUAAUGGAACAACAAAAAAACUGUGAAGGAUAGUGUCAUUGGGAGUGACAAGAGGUAAGUUUACAAAACAGGACAGGGCCAGAUCAUGCUUAGGCCAACUUGUGAGAGGUGGCCUUCCUUGGCAUUCACAGCAGACACACCCAGAACUGCAGAGAGAGCAGGUGGAACCUCUGCAGAUGCUAUUUUGAAGGUAAGCAGAGAGACUGGCGAGGCAGCCGUUCCAGCAGCUCAGUUGAGAAAUGACCUGGGCUGAACCAGGAUAGGGAUGCAGCAGAAGGAAUGCUUUUGUAAACCAUUUGGGAGGGAAAACUUUUAGGUCUUGCCUGUUGAUUGGGCAUGAGGCUUGAGGCAGAGAACAGAGUCGAACUGAGAACAAACUUUCUAGCUGGAAUGGCGGAUGAGAUGGUGAGGCUGUGGCCUGAAAGAGUUCAUGCAGGAGGAGAAAGGAAUUCAGGAGGUGUAUGAUAAAAGUUCUGUUUCAAACACCUAAAGCUUGAGGUGCCUGUGGGGUAUGGAGGUGGAUAUUUCCAAGAUGUGUCUGAGCCAUGAGAACCCAGAGAAGCUCACAUGUAAGGUCUAGAGCAAAUGUGGGCAUCAUAUGUAUAUAGUUUGCAGUUCAAACUCUGGGAGAGGACGAGAUUGCCGGUGAACAAAGAAUACAAUAAAAAGGCCAGAGCACUCACGGGCUAGUUUGUAAUUUUUAUUGAGCACGAAUGUGUUUAUCACUGGAUUCUUCAGGACUCUGUAGUUAAAUAAGGUAACUGUAUUGUGAGCCUUGUAUUUAGAGAAUAUAUAGGAUUGAUCUUCCUGGUUUACUCUGAGGAUCUGUAUAUUGAUAAAAUGUGAUUAUAUUAUAUAGUUUCCAGAAGAGAUAAUUUAUAUCAUGUACAAUGAUGAUAUAGCUUGUUUGAUGUCAUUAUUCUAAUAAAUAGGAAAUCCAGCUUAUCUGCAAAUCAUACUUAUGCUUCUCUCUUUAUCAGCAUGUACUCAAUAAGCACUUGGUAAUUGUAUGUUAUAUAAAUGAAGCUAUGCAUAUGUAAUGUCCGUCAUGUUAUUUGGAAGGGGGCAUCUGUGCUAAACAAGCUAAACACUUUUAUUACCAAAAACAUCAAGGAAUGCAAAUACCAUAACUUCCUGCAAGUUGUUUAUUGCCUAUGAAAAGUAGCUAAAAAGUAUUAUAUAUUGCCAUUUCAUCAUUCCAUGAGAUUACUUUAUUGUUAAGUUGAAGUGACUGCUGGCUUUAUUAAACUCAGUGCAAUAUUGGAUUUCAUUACAAAUUUUCAUUUUCAUAGUGAUAAUGUCUUCCGCAAUACAACACUCUUCAUUUAUUACUUCAUUUUCACUUCUUUUUAGCUUUUGUUUUCAUACAAACUCUAAAAUGAAUAAGCUCAGGGAAAGCCUCUUGUGACUAAAGAUUUCUUAUACUUCAACCUUUGGAAAAUUUACAUAAACAUUACUUGUCAUCCCAUUGUGAUAUGGGCAUAUGAGAUUUGAUUCUCAUUUUGGGAAAUAUUUUGUCACAACAAGAAAGGGCUUUGCUUUCUCUUCAAUUUUUGUUAGAGAUGGUGAAAAUUUGACCUCCAAACUAUUAUUCAUAGUAUGGAGAGAAAUGAAUAUCAGAAUUAACAAGCUCAGAAUGCUGGAAUCAAGCUGUUAAACACGACAGAUCAUUUUAGUUUUAAUAGCCUUUUAUUGUAAAUUAUUUUACAAUACAAAUUGCUUUCUUAACUUUUGUAUUUCUGAUAAUCUUGAUAUUUCCUUGGCUGAUAUUUAAUGUUUUAUGUUGUAUCCUUCCUUUUUCUAGAGCUAUUUGUGGUAGGUCUCAAUUGCUCUCCAUUAUUGAGACCUUUCUCCUUGGGAAUAAAAUUUCUCUUCAUUUAAAAAUCCAGUCAUUUUAAUGUAGUGUUACAAUGACUUCUCACUCAACAACAGCGUUUUGGAUAAAAUGUUAAUUACACCAUGAAACUUCAAUCAUCAUCAUGAUGGCAACACUUGCAUUUUCAUUUUUAAUUCCUUCAGUGAGUUAACUCUUUCUAUUAUGACAGGGUGAUGUAAUGUGAUGGGAAUUUCAAAACAGCCCUGCCUUUGGCAUAAAAUAGCCCAGUGACUUUAGAUCGGUCUUGCAAACAGUCUGGACCUCAGUGUACUCAACGGUAUAAUUAAGGAGUUUAACUUCCUUCCAGGUGACAACUUCUAGAAUUAUUGCUGCAAAGAUCCGGUUAUCCUCACAGGGAGUGAGUGAAAAAAAGUGGGAAGAAACUAACUUAAUUCUAAGAAAUGAGAGGAUUACAGAUCCCAGAAGAUAAUCAAGUGCUUCAAGACAGUUGAUUAAGCCAAAUUAUAUGUGGUAGAGAAAGAUUUGUGGAGCAGUUUCAGAAUAUAUACACAUGUCUGUCUGUUGAAUGUAUUCCUUCCUCUUACAGGAAGGAAUUCCUUCCAGGGUCAUUGUAUGUGAUAAAGAUCACUUGUAAAUGAAAACUUUGGAGGUUACAGAAGAAGUAAAUGUCAGAAAUGAAGGAAAAUAAUAGCAGGUAAAGGAAAGAAAGGGAGGAAUCGCAGAAAUGAGAAAAACUGAAAAGGGAAGAAAGCAGAGACCACUAAUUAGAAGUCGAGCAUCUUGGAGGAUGAAAUUAUGCCAUAAUUUUCUUCCCUUGGUCGUUUUUGAUGUCUUGAGGGGAUCCUAUCAGCAGGAGAUACAGAGAGACUCCUACUGACAUCAGCCUUCAUGCACACAUAUGAAAGGAGAAACCAUGUAGCUGAUCCAGCCUGGAGACCAUCGAUGACAGCCUGGAUGAUGGACACAGGUGAGGGGACUCCAUCAAAGAACAGACAAGACUUUGUUGUAGAAAAACAACAACAACAAAAAAAGAGGCUGACAUCCUAUAAUAAAUUUGUGUUUGGCAGAAUCCUAAGGUGGCCCCAAGAUUCCCACCUCUAGGUGUACAUAUUUUGUAUACUCGCUCACCCUCUGUCUUGAGUGUAGGCAGAACUUGUGAAUAUGAAGGAAUGUCACUCCGUGACAUCUUAGGUUAGAUGACAAAGGUUAUCCCCUCAGGGGAUCUUGAUUAUAGCUGCAAAAUCCCCUUUGUCAUCCCCUUUAAAUUAAUCAAAAGGGAAUAUGAGAGUGGUCUGCAGAUAACAAGUAGCAAGAAAAUGAAGACUUCGGUCCUGCAGCUGCAAGGAAACAAAUUCUGCCGACAAACGCGAGAAACUUUGCAGUGAAUCUUUUCCUGGUCAAGCAUCCAGGUUGAGAACUCAGCUCAGCCAAGACCUUGAUUUCAGACUUGUGAGAGCUUGCAUGGAGAACUCAGUGACUGUCUGUAGUUUAGGAGUUAAUUUUCUCACUCUGUGUAUUAACUGAGUCUGCUUGUAAUUUAUUGUUUCUGACUUUUUUAAAAAACUGUAAAUAUUCAUUGACUUUCUAACGGAUUGCCUUUGAUUGAUCGAUUGGUGAUGGAUGCUAAUGGAAUCUGUGACCCAUUCUUUACAAAUUACAGAUUUCAGAAAAGGAGAGAAGCCAAAAACGUUCACUUGAGAGUGUCAUUUGAAGAGGUAAGCCUCCUCAAUUGACAUAUGUGCCCAAACAUUUAGCUGCAUUAUUUUCUGAAGAGCCAGCAGACCAUUCUGGUGACACACUCUUUGCCUUAUUGUUUGCUACAUAAAAACCUGAAUGGAACUAAAUUAUAAACUAGGGCUAUAGAAUAAAUGCAGCAAUGAUGGCUUGAAUGGCUAAAACCUGAGAUGUCACUCUCAAUGAAAGGCAGUGUUUAUUCCACAGCUCAGAGUCACCAAUAGCAUGAGAUACUAAGAAAAUGAAAUAAACCCUAAGUUAGUAAAUUACAAGAAGUCAUUCUCAAAGUCCAUGUCUUGUCUGUCCUUUUGAUCAUAAGGUCAUUAUGAGAUACAAAUACUAACAUAUUUAAAAUUUAAUAAAAAAGAUUUUAAAAUGUAGUUCUCAAGAGUGGUCAGCAACCUUAAAAUUGGGGGCUGCAAACACAUUCCACUGGCAAAGGAUUAUGCAAGAUAAAUUGUUGAACUUUAAAAGACUAAUAAAUUAUAUUGCAGUUAAUUUUAUUAUCUUUUAAUCAACAAUGAAGUGGAUGCACUAUGUUUAAGUUUUUCAAGGAUUUUGAAUAGAAAAUUGUGUUUUCUGGUCAACUCCCAUCACCAAUAUUCUGGACACGAAAUUUGUUCCAUAUAAGAAAGUAGAAGAGAUGGUUCUGCUGUGCAGACACCUUAAAAAAUCCAGAAAUGUGGCAGAGGUGGUGGCCACCACUUGCUCCUCUUUUCUCGAUUUUCUGAGCUGGACUUUUAUUGAAGGAUAUAGGGAAAUUUGAAAAGAAAAUACUGCUUCUAAUCCUGCAGUCAUCUUCUGCUUUGGCUCUUGAGGGUUCGUUAUUCUGGAAGCUGGAAUGACAUUCAGUAGUGUACUCUGAAAAAUGGGAGGAGUUAAUGCGGUUUUUUAAGGUAUGAUUAUGGUCUCCACUUUCCUGUCUAAUUUUCUGUAGGGUAAUUCAACCUGUAUUUCCCCAUCUCUUAAUGAGAAUGAAUAGCUACACAGUCUGUUUCAGGGGCUUUAAUUGUUUCCUAGACAUUGCGGAUCUUUUCUAAUAGUGCUUGUGAUGCUUGAGACAAAGUCCCCAUUCUUGAAUGGUUUCUGCCAAUCCGACUUUGUGAAUAAACUCUAAUGACAAUAUUUUUGAGAAAACCAUCGUAAGAAUGCCAUCAAUGUCUUGGAAGUGAA
RNAcentral lists this long non-coding RNA (8778 nucleotides) under Homo sapiens (human). Its description in RNAcentral is "HSALNT0395003". Lineage: Eukaryota; Metazoa; Chordata; Mammalia; Primates; Hominidae. The record is from RNAcentral.